AGUACGACUGCCGUCUUAGGACUUGAUGAAGCCAGCCUUUCCUUCAGGAUAACGAUGUGGAACGGCAGAUCAUCCCGGGCUGCAAGCAGGCGUGCAGGAGGAGCAGGACACCGGAGCAAACUUGGCUCGAUGGACUGAGGCAGUAUGCGAAUUUAGGAGAAGAUGAGCUUACUUUCUCUUCAGAUUAUGUAUUUUACACCCUAUAAAGCUUUAGGAACAAAUAAGCAAUCAGCGGGAUAAAAUGACUGCACCAGCAGACAAGGAAGGCUGAAGCAGCAGCUGCUCGGGAGCCACCCGCACCCUUCUCAGCACAGACAACUUCACAUAAAAGUGCGGAGGAUGCAUCCAUCCCUGAUCCUGGCCAGUAGCGAGCGGUCACCCCAGUGUGACAGGCAUGAACACACUCCUGUCUUACAAGCUCCAUUUUGGCUACAAGCACAGCCCUGUACUCCUUUCCUAGAAAGUAAGUACUCUUAUUCUUUCCACACAUAUUUACCUCUCAAGCUUUCUUAA
RNAcentral lists this long non-coding RNA (513 nucleotides) under Cyanistes caeruleus (blue tit). RNAcentral's name for it is "lncRNA (ENSCCEG00000000633.1)". Lineage: Eukaryota; Metazoa; Chordata; Aves; Passeriformes; Paridae. The record is from RNAcentral.